RNAcentral lists this ribosomal RNA (253 nucleotides) under uncultured bacterium. Its description in RNAcentral is "partial 16S ribosomal RNA". It matches the Rfam family "Bacterial small subunit ribosomal RNA", at positions 524 to 776 of the family's 1533-position model. The record is from RNAcentral.
UACGUAGGGUGCGAGCGUUGUCCGGAAUUAUUGGGCGUAAAGGGCUCGUAGGCGGUCUGUCGCGUCGGGAGUGAAAACUCAGGGCUUAACCCUGAGCCUGCUUCCGAUACGGGCAGACUAGAGGUAUGCAGGGGAGAACGGAAUUCCUGGUGUAGCGGUGAAAUGCGCAGAUAUCAGGAGGAACACCGGUGGCGAAGGCGGUUCUCUGGGCAUUACCUGACGCUGAGGAGCGAAAGUGUGGGGAGCGAACAAG